Molecule: transfer RNA, 65 nt
Filed under: Ocnus glacialis
Lineage: Eukaryota; Metazoa; Echinodermata; Holothuroidea; Dendrochirotida; Cucumariidae
Description: tRNA-Arg
Source: RNAcentral
GUAAGAUUAGUUUAUAAAAAUAUAAAGUUUCGACCUUUAAGUUCUCUAAACCUAGAGAUCAUACU